UUAGUGGCGGACGGGUGAGUAACGCGUGGGCAACCUGCCUUACACAGGGGGAUAACACUUAGAAAUAGGUGCUAAAACCGCAUAAGCGCACAGCUUCGCAUGAAGCGGUGUGAAAAACUCCGGUGGUGUAAGAUGGACCCGCGUCUGAUUAGCUUGUUGGCGGGGUAACGGCCCACCAAGGCGACGAUCAGUAGCCGGCCUGAGAGGGCGGACGGCCACAUUGGGACUGAGACACGGCCCAGACUCCUACGGGAGGCAGCAG
Molecule: ribosomal RNA, 262 nt
Filed under: uncultured bacterium
Lineage: Bacteria
Description: partial 16S ribosomal RNA
Rfam family: Bacterial small subunit ribosomal RNA
Source: RNAcentral